RNAcentral lists this long non-coding RNA (4146 nucleotides) under Sorghum bicolor (sorghum). RNAcentral describes it as "long non-coding RNA (SBIC_LNC012756)". Lineage: Eukaryota; Viridiplantae; Streptophyta; Magnoliopsida; Poales; Poaceae. The record is from RNAcentral.
GUGGCGAAAAACACACGAACUGGACUCUAACAAAGACCUCGACUAGGACACAAACUCAACACUGCGGACUCUGAAACUGAAAUAUGCAAAGGCUAUGGCGCGGAAGGGUGGUAGGACAGGAAAAUGAUAUGGUACUGGACUUAUGGGACGAACACAAGAACACUCCAAACUAAGGGUAGAUGUGAACCUAAUGUUAUACCUAAAGCUCUGAUUACCACUUGAUGAGAACAAGGGUGGCCCGAUCUUCUGAAAGGUUCUAGUACCUCUCGAUUUGGUGGAGACGAGACACAAAUCGAUCCGGCUUCCGAACAACAUGAUCCGAAACCCUACAUUUUUUUUUAUUUUUUUGAUGUUUUUCUUUUAGUUAGGAGCACCAAAGAAGUAACCACAUAAAAUUUGAGCUUAAACAAGUGAAAAACAUGGCCUGUGGAAUUAUCUGAAGAUUGUGAAAAAUGUGAAAAAACUUCACGAGGUGAAAACUCAAACUUUGGAGGUGAAUUUGCAGGUUCUAAAAUUUUCAAACCCACCAAAAGCUAGGACACACACAUCCAAAAUUUUUUUCUGAUCGAUUUUGAUAUAUGCAACGUUAAAAUCGGAGUUCGUAUGUGAAAGUUAUGGCUAUUUUACGAACGGACUCCGAAUUAGAGGACAAAACGGUCUGAAAGUGGGAAAAAUUUGCGGUGGUGGCUAGAAAUUGAUGGAAACGGUGGGGAAAAACACACGAACUGGACUCUAACUAGACCUAACCAGCAACAGGACCUCAACAAGAACACAAACUCAACACUGCGGACUCUGAAACUGAAAUAUGCAAAGGCUUUGGCGUGAAAGGGUUGUAGGACACGAAAAUGAUAUAGCACUGGACUUAUGGUACAAACACAAGAACACUCGAAACUAAGGGUGGAUGUGAACCUAACGGUAUACCUAAAACUUUGAUUACCACUUGAUGAGAACAUGAGUGACCUGAUCUUUCAAAAGGUUCUGGUAACUCUAGAUUUGGUGGAGACGAGAAACAAAUCGAUCCGGCUUCCGAACAACAUCAUAUGAAACCGUGCAAUUUUUUUAUUUUUUUGAUAUUUUUCUUUUAGUUAUGAGCACCAAAGGAGUAACCACAGAAAAUUUGAGCUUAAACAAGUGAAAGACAUGGCCUGUGGAAUUUUUUGAAGAUUGUGAAAAAUGUGAAAAAAACUUCACGAGGUGAAAACUCAAACUUUGGAGGUGAAUUUUGAGGUUCUAAAAUUUUCAAACCCAACAAUGGAGGGGACAGACAGAUCCAAAAAAAAUUUCGGAUCGAUUUUGAUAUAUGGAACGUUGAAAUCGGAGUUCGUAUGCGAAAGUUAUGGCUAUUUUACGUACGGACUACGAAUUAGAGGACAAAACCGUCCGAAAGUGGGAGAAAUUUGCGGUGGUGGCUAGAAAUUGAUGGAAACGGUAGGGGAAAACACACGAACUGGACUGUAAUAAGACCUAACCAGCAACAAGACCUCGACCAGGACAAACUCAACAAUGCGGACUCUGAAACUAAAAUAUGCAGAGGCUAUGGCGUGGAAGGGUUGUAGGACAGGAAAACGAUAUGUUACUGGACUUAUGGGACGAACACAGGAACACUCGAAACUAAGGGUAGAUGUGAAACUAAUGGUAUACCUAAAGCUUUGAUUACCACUUGAUGAGAAAAAGGGUGGCCCGAUCUUUCGAAAGGUUCUGGUAACUCUCGAUUUGGUGGAGACGAGACACAAAUCGAUCCGGCUUCCGAACAACACGAUCUGAAACCCUACAGUUCUUUUUUAUUUUUUUAAUAUUUUUCUUUUAGUUAGGAGCACCGAAAGAGUAACCACAUAAAAUUUGAGUUCAGACAAGUGAAAGACACGGCCUGCGGAAUUUUCUGAAGAUUGUGAAAAAUGUGAAAAAAACAUCACGAGGUGAAAACGCAAACUUGGGAGGUGAAUUUGGAGGUCCUAAAAUUUUCAAACUUGCCAAAGGCAGGGACAUACAGAUCUGAAUUUUUUUUCUGAUCGAUUUUGAUAUAUGGAACGUUGAAAUCGGAGUUCGUAUGGGAAAGUUAUGGCUAUUUUACGAACGGACUCCGAAUUAGAGGACAAAAUGGUCCAAAAGUGGGAAAAAUUUGCGGUGGUGGCUAGAAAUUGAUGGAAACGGUGGGGAAAAACACACGAACUAGACUCUAACAAGACCUAACAAGCAACAAGACCUCAACCAAGACACAAACUCAACACUGCGGACUCUGAAACUGAAAUAUGCAAAGGCUAUGGCGCGUAAGGGUUGUAGGACAUGAAAACGAUAUGGCCCUGGACGUUUGGGACGAACACAAGAACACUCGAAACUAAGGGUAGAUGUGAACCUAACAGUAUACCUAAAGCUUUGAUUACCACUUGAUGAGAACAAGGGUGACCUCAUCUUCCAAAAGGUUUGUAACUCUCGAUUUGGUGCAGACGAGACACAAAUCGAUCCGGAUUCCGAACAACACGAUCCAAAACCCUACAAUUUUUUUUAUUUUUUCGAUAUUCUUCUUUUAGUUAGGAGUAACCACAGAAAAUUUGAGCUUAAACAAGUGAAAGACAUGGCCUGUGGAAUUUUCUGAAGAUUGUGAAAAAUGUGAAAAAAACUUCACGAGGUGAAAACUCAAAGUUCGGAGGAGAAUUUUAAGGUUCUAAAAUUUUCAAACCUCCCUACAAUGGGGACAUGCAGAUCCGAAAUUUUUUUCUGAUCGAUUUUGAUAUAUGGAACAUUGAAAUCGGAGUUCGUAUGCGAAAGUUAUGGCUAUUUUACAAACGAACUCUGAAUUAUAGGACAAAACGGUCCGAAAGUGGAAAAAAUUUGCGGCGGUGGCUAGAAAUUGAUGGAAACAAAGGGGAAAAGACACAAACUGGACUCUAACAAGACCUAUCCAGCAACAAGACCUCGACCAGGACAAACUCAACACUGCAGACUCUAAAACUGAAAUAUGCAGAGGCUAUGGCGCGGAAGGGUUGUAGGACUGGAAAACGAUAUGUUAUUGGACUUAUGGGACGAACACAGGAACACUCGAAACAAAGGGUAGAUGUGAACCUAAUGGUAUACCUAAUGCUUUGAUUACCACUUGAUGAGAACAAGGGUGGCCUGAUCUUCCGAAAGGUUCUGGUAACUCUCGAUUUGGUGGAGACGAGACACAAAUCGAUCCGGCUUCCGAACAACACGAUCCGAAACCUUGCAAUUGUUUUUUAUUUUUUUGAUAUUUUUAUUUUAGUUAGGAGCACCAAAAGAGUAACCACAUAAAAUUUGAGUUUAAACAAGUGAAAAACAUGGCCUGUGGAAUUAUCUGAAGAUUGUGAAAAAUGUGAAAAAACUUCACGAGGUGAAAACUCAAACUUUGGAGGUGAAUUUGCAGGUUCUAAAAUUUUCAAACCCACCAAAAGCUAGGACACACAGAUCCAAAAAUUUUUUCUGAUCGAUUUUGAUAUAUGGAACGUUGAAAUAGGAGUUCGUAUGGGAAAGUUAUGGCUAUUUUACGAACGGACUCCGAAUUAGAGGACAAAACGGUCCAAAAGUGGGAAAAAUUUGCGGUGGUGGCUAGAAAUUGAUGGAAACGGUGGGGAAAAACACACGAACUGGACUCUAACUAGACCUAACCAGCAACAGGACCUCAACAAGAACACAAACUCAACACUGCGGACUCUGAAACUGAAAUAUGCAAAGGCUUUGGCGCGAAAGGGUUGUAGGACACGAAAAUGAUAUAGCACUGGACUUAUGGUACAAACACAAGAACACUCGAAACUAAGGGUGGAUGUGAACCUAACUGUAUACCUAAAACUUUGAUUACCACUUGAUGAGAACAAGAGUGACCUGAUCUUCCAAAAGGUUCUGGUAACUCUAGAUUUGGUGGAGACGAGAAACAAAUCGAUCCGGCUUCCGAACAACAUCAUAUGAAACCGUGCAAUUUUUUUAUUUUUUUGAUAUUUUUCUUUUAGUUACGAGCACCAAAGGAGUAACCACAGAAAAUUUGAGCUUAAACAAGUGAAAGACGUGGCCUGUGGAAUUUUUUGAAGAUUGUGAAAAAUGUGAAAAAAACUUCACGAGGUGAAAACUCAAACUUUGGAGGUGAAUUUUGAGGUUCUAAAAUUUUCAAACCCAACAAUGGAGGGGACAGACAGAUCC